AAUUUCGACUUCUAUUCUUUUUUGUUUCUUCUUCUAUUUUGACCGAAUAAAAUAUGAGUGUGAAACAUGAAACCAAAAACUUAGAGCUGAACGGAAGUGCCAAAAUAAAAAAUGUGUCUAAAUUGAUUUUGUUUUUUAGAAGUUGUGUGAGUUGAUUUUGUUUUUUAGAAGUUGUGUGAGACGUCAAUUUUCUAAGGAUUAGUCUUAAUUGACAUAAGAACAUGACGUAGCUAGUUCAUAAAAUCAAGAAAUGCAAACAAAAACAUAAAGGGUUCGAUAACAUGAUGAAGUUAUAGGUUACGGUGACAAUGAGGAUUUUGUAUCGAACUGAAGUCUUUGCUGUGGUAGAGAUGACGAGAAGAUUAGUAUUCGAUCAGGGUGGCUGAAAGGACUCUGUUUUUAUGGAACAAUAGUCACAUUGAGAACCUAAUAAAAAAGAACCUGAUUUUGCCGAUUAUAUUUCCUGCGCUGGAGAGAAAUUCAAGAAACCAUUGGAAUCAGCAUGUACAAAACUUGACACAAAACGUCCGAAAGAUCUUCUUGGAUGCUGACCCUGAGCUGUUGAGGAAUGUUUGCUUAAAUUUCAA
Long non-coding RNA from Cucurbita moschata (crookneck pumpkin), 587 nucleotides. RefSeq lists it as uncharacterized. The record is from RefSeq and is a predicted model, not a curated record. NCBI's taxonomy places the organism in Eukaryota, Viridiplantae, Streptophyta, Magnoliopsida, Cucurbitales, Cucurbitaceae. The transcript has 2 exons.